UGGGGAAUAUUGCACAAUGGGCGAAAGCCUGAUGCAGCGACGCCGCGUGAGGGAUGACGGCCUUCGGGUUGUAAACCUCUUUCAGUAGGGACGAAGCGCAAGUGACGGUACCUGCAGAAGAAGCACCGGCUAACUACGUGCCAGCAGCCGCGGUAAUACGUAGGGUGCGAGCGUUGUCCGGAAUUACUGGGCGUAAAGAGCUCGUAGGCGGUUUGUCACGUCGUCUGUGAAAUCCUAGGGCUUAACCCUGGACGUGCAGGCGAUACGGGCUGACUUGAGUACUACAGGGGUGACUGGAAUUUCUGGUGUAGCGGUGGAAUGCACAGAUAUCAGGAAGAACACCGAUGGCGAAGGCAGGUCUCUGGGUUGUAACUGACGCUGAGGAGCGAAAGCAUGGGUAGCGAACAGG
Molecule: ribosomal RNA, 409 nt
Filed under: bacterium
Lineage: Bacteria
Description: partial 16S ribosomal RNA
Rfam family: Bacterial small subunit ribosomal RNA
Source: RNAcentral